CAGUAGCCGCGGUAAUACGGAGGGUGCAAGCGUUGUCCGGAUUUAUUGGGUUUAAAGGGUGCGUAGGCGGCUAUUUAAGUCAGCGGUGAAAGACUCCGGCUCAACCGGAGCAGUGCCAUUGAUACUGGAUAGCUUGAGUGUUGGAGGGGUACAUGGAAUUGAUGGUGUAGCGGUGAAAUGCAUAGAUACCAUCAGGAACACCGAUAGCGAAGGCAUUGUACUGGCCAACAACUGACGCUGAGGCACGAAAGCAUGGGGAGCGAACAGGAUUAGAUACCCCCGUAGUCCCUGUCUCUUAUAC
This 301-nucleotide ribosomal RNA is filed under the name uncultured bacterium. RNAcentral describes it as "partial 16S ribosomal RNA". It matches the Rfam family "Bacterial small subunit ribosomal RNA", at positions 509 to 807 of the family's 1533-position model. The record is from RNAcentral.